Molecule: ribosomal RNA, 17 nt
Filed under: Sparassis spathulata
Lineage: Eukaryota; Fungi; Basidiomycota; Agaricomycetes; Polyporales; Sparassidaceae
Also listed under: 1 other name
Description: partial large subunit ribosomal RNA
Source: RNAcentral
UCUGAUCUCAAAUCAGG